UACCGGCGGCUCGAGUGGUGGCCGCUUUUACUGGGCUUAAAGGGUCCGUAGCUUGAUCCAUGGGUCCCUUGAGAAAUCCAUCAGCUUAACUGCUGGGCGUUCAGGGGAAACUGUGGUUCUAGGGACCGGGAGAGGUAAGAGGUACUGCCGGGGUAGGAGUGAAAUCCUGUAAUCCCGGUGGGACGACCUAUAGCGAAGGCAUCUUACCAGAACGGCUCCGACAGUGAGGGACGAAAGCUGGGGGAGCAAA
This 250-nucleotide ribosomal RNA is filed under the name uncultured archaeon. RNAcentral describes it as "partial 16S ribosomal RNA". It matches the Rfam family "Archaeal small subunit ribosomal RNA", at positions 474 to 723 of the family's 1478-position model. The record is from RNAcentral.